This 717-nucleotide ribosomal RNA is filed under the name uncultured archaeon. Its description in RNAcentral is "bacterial SSU rRNA". It matches the Rfam family "Archaeal small subunit ribosomal RNA", at positions 140 to 858 of the family's 1478-position model. The record is from RNAcentral.
CUGAGAAUAAUGCCCGAUAGAACAUUAUACCUGGAAUGGUUUAUGUUUCAAAUGAUUUAUCGCCAUAGGAUGGGACUGCGGCCUAUCAGUUUGUUGGUGAGGUAAUGGCCCACCAAGACUAUUACAGGUACGGGCUCUGAGAGGAGUAGCCCGGAGAUGGGUACUGAGACACGGACCCAGGCCCUAUGGGGCGCAGCAGGCGAGAAAACUUUGCAAUGUGCGAAAGCACGACAAGGUUAAUCCGAGUGAUUUCUGCUAAAGAGAUCUUUUGUUAGUCCUAGAAACACUAACGAAUAAGGGGUGGGCAAGUUCUGGUGUCAGCCGCCGCGGUAAAACCAGCACCUCAAGUGGUCAGGAUGAUUAUUGGGCCUAAAGCAUCCGUAGCCGGCUCUGUAAGUUUUCGGUUAAAUCUGUACGCUCAACGUACAGGCUGCCGGGAAUACUGCAGAACUAGGGAGUGGGAGAGGUAGACGGUACUCGGUAGGAAGUGGUAAAAUGCUUUGAUCUAUCGAUGACCACCUGUGGCGAAGGCGGUCUACCAGAACACGUCCGACGGUGAGGGAUGAAAGCUAGGGGAGCAAACCGGAUUAGAUACCCGGGUAGUCCCAGCUGUAAACUAUGCAAACUCAGUGAUGCAUUGGCUUGUGGCCAAUGCAGUGCUGCAGGGAAGCCGUUAAGUUUGCCGCCUGGGAAGUACGUACGCAGGUAUGAAACUUA